Molecule: non-coding RNA, 25 nt
Filed under: Mus musculus (house mouse)
Lineage: Eukaryota; Metazoa; Chordata; Mammalia; Rodentia; Muridae
Source: RNAcentral
UGAAUGUGUUCUGAGCCAGAGAGAA